GCUUAACACAUGCAAGUCGAGGGGCAGCAUGGUCUUAGCUUGCUAAGGCUGAUGGCGACCGGCGCACGGGUGAGUAACACGUAUCCAACCUGCCCUUUACUCGGGGAUAGCCUUUCGAAAGAAAGAUUAAUACCCGAUGGCAUAAUGAUUCCGCAUGGUUUCAUUAUUAAAGGAUUCCGGUAAAGGAUGGGGAUGCGUUCCAUUAGGUUGUUGAUGGGGUAACGGCUCACCAAGCCUUCGAUGGAUAGGGGUUCUGAGAGGAAGGUCCCCCACAUUGGAACUGAGACACGGUCCAAACUCCUACGGGAGGCAGCAGUGAGGAAUAUUGGUCAAUGGGCGCUAGCCUGAACCAGCCAAGUAGCGUGAAGGAUGAAGGCUCUAUGGGUCGUAAACUUCUUUUAUAUAAGAAUAAAGUGCAGUAUGUAUACUGUUUUGUAUGUAUUAUAUGAAUAAGGAUCGGCUAACUCCGUGCCAGCAGCCGCGGUAAUACGGAGGAUCCGAGCGUUAUCCGGAUUUAUUGGGUUUAAAGGGAGCGUAGGUGGACUGGUAAGUCAGUUGUGAAAGUUUGCGGCUCAACCGUAAAAUUGCAGUUGAUACUGUCAGUCUUGAGUACAGUAGAGGUGGGCGGAAUUCGUGGUGUAGCGGUGAAAUGCUUAGAUAUCACGAAGAACUCCGAUUGCGAAGGCAGCUCACUGGACUGCAACUGACACUGAUGCUCGAAAGUGUGGGUAUCAAACAGGAUUAGAUACCCUGGUAGUCCACACAGUAAACGAUGAAUACUCGCUGUUUGCGAUAUACAGUAAGCGGCCAAGCGAAAGCAUUAAGUAUUCCACCUGGGGAGUACGCCGGCAACGGUGAAACUCAAAGGAAUUGACGGGGGCCCGCACAAGCGGAGGAACAUGUGGUUUAAUUCGAUGAUACGCGAGGAACCUUACCCGGGCUUAAAUUGCAGUGGAAUGAUGUGGAAACAUGUCAGUGAGCAAUCACCGCUGUGAAGGUGCUGCAUGGUUGUCGUCAGCUCGUGCCGUGAGGUGUCGGCUUAAGUGCCAUAACGAGCGCAACCCUUAUCUUUAGUUACUAACAGGUCAUGCUGAGGACUCUAGAGAGACUGCCGUCGUAAGAUGUGAGGAAGGUGGGGAUGGCGUCAAAUCAGCACGGCCCUUACGUCCGGGGCUACACACGUGUUACAAUGGGGGGUACAGAAGGCAGCUAGCGGGUGACCGUAUGCUAAUCCCAAAAUCCUCUCUCAGUUCGGAUCGAAGUCUGCAACCCGACUUCGUGAAGCUGGAUUCGCUAGUAAUCGCGCAUCAGCCACGGCGCGGUGAAUACGUUCCCGGGCCUUGUACACACCGCCCGUCAAGCCAUGGGAGCCGGGGGUACCUGAAGUACGUAACCGCAAGGAUCGUCCUAGGGUAAAACUGGUGACUGGGGCUAAGUC
This 1438-nucleotide ribosomal RNA is filed under the name uncultured organism. Its description in RNAcentral is "SSU rRNA". It matches the Rfam family "Bacterial small subunit ribosomal RNA". The record is from RNAcentral.